UCUGAAACCUUGCCGAGAAAACUGUAGGGACUUGACCAGGCAGUCACCAGGAGUCAACACUGACUUGAAGGCACACACACACAUUACACACACACAAAUAGAUGAGCAGUUUAAUAUUUGAAAGGUGACUGCUGACUGACACACCAUUGAAACUUUGACCAUUUUCUCUGUGUCUCUGCAGAUUUCAUCCCAUCAGCACUGCUCUGAAGGCUUAGGGAUGCAGAAUAUGGAUAGAAUCUUCAACCUUACAGAUAGAAAUAUACAGGUCUUACAAAUAAACAAAGCUCUUGGACAUUAUCCUGAGAUGGAAGAUUACAGUUUUUAAAAAUGCCAGUAAACCUACAAACAAAAGAAACCCAGUGAAAGUUAAUAUGCAUUCUAAAAGACCACCUACCUGCUCUGACUAGAGCACACUGGAGAAGUUGCUUCUUAGAGCUCUAAAAUACUAUCAAGCAAAUUUCCCUGCCAAAGUAAAAUUGUUGCUGCAAGGAUUUCAAGACUGGAACACUCAGCACGGCUUUCUUUUUCAAAAGCAACAAUGGAAGCCUUUGAUUGAAAUCAAGCCCGUGGGAGAUGGAAUGGCCCCCUAACUUAUUGCAUUCUGUCCAGUUCUGACCCAUAGUGUG
This is a long non-coding RNA of Candoia aspera, 626 nucleotides long. RefSeq lists it as uncharacterized. The transcript is spliced from 3 exons. The record is from RefSeq and is a predicted model, not a curated record. Lineage: Eukaryota; Metazoa; Chordata; Lepidosauria; Squamata; Candoiidae.